Molecule: small nuclear RNA, 109 nt
Organism: Zalophus californianus (California sea lion)
Lineage: Eukaryota; Metazoa; Chordata; Mammalia; Carnivora; Otariidae
Source: Ensembl
GUACUCUUCUCACUCUGGCAGCACAUAUACUAAAAUUGGAAUGAUACAGAGAUAAGCAUGGCCCCUGUGCAAGGAUGACAGGCAAAUUCAUGAAGUGUUCCAUAUUUCU